Homo sapiens (human) is the source of this 1802-nucleotide long non-coding RNA. RefSeq annotates it as TERT regulating lncRNA 1. The record is from RefSeq and is marked validated. Lineage: Eukaryota; Metazoa; Chordata; Mammalia; Primates; Hominidae. The transcript has 5 exons.
ACAAACACACACAGGCCUGAGCUCCGGAUAUUUCUCCUGUUCUGGAGACAGUGAGAAGUGAAAGAGAAAUGGCUGCCCCUGCACCACUUACCGCGAAGGAGGCUCAAGGCUGGGGGGCCCCUCUGCCUUCCAGUGACCGCCCGUGUCACAUCCUGACCCGCUCAGCAGGAGAACACAGCAGGUCCCUCCGACCGCAGUCGGCCUCUCCAGCCUGCCAUGCCUCUGGCCAUGAGGCGACCCGCUGGAGUGAUGGAUUCCCGUCACUACCACCCACAGGGCGAGGGGGUGCAUUGGUCUGCUUGGGCCGCUGUAACAAAAUGCCACAGCCUGGAUGAGUGACUGACAUUGCUUCCCCACCGUUCUGGAGGCUGGAGGCCCGAGAUCGAGGUCCCUGACACUAUUUCAGUGAUGCCAGAGCCCAGGAGGAGUCGACCAAGCCCCAGCGUGGCCAUAAGCACCUUCGCAGGACCACGGAGUCGCUGCAGGUGUUCAGCCCUGUUGAGAGUGGGAGUCGGUGUCGAUGGUCACAGCUCAGUAACUCAUCGUCACCAGCGAGUACCACAGAGCAGACACAACUGCACUUCUCUGUAGAGCCUCCAGUCGAUACUGAGAGCCACUGGGGCGUCUGACACCCAAGGGUGCAGACAUUCACUCCAAGUCCAGAGACCGCGCCCUUUCUAAGGCCCUGUCUCACAGUCGCCCCGUGCUCAUUGUGCCGGAUGUUUCCACAGCCACAGAGACGGUGCGUGAAGGUGAGGUGCAGCCUAGUGCAUAUGACUGACAGAAACGUGAAGCCACAGUGGACGCCUGGAUGAGACACAGAUCACCUUCCAAAUCUGAGUGUGGCCUUGGGACCAACCAGGCAGCCAGGGAGAAGGCAGAGACCAGAGGGAACCCAGGUGCCCUCAAUCCCAGCCUCCUCUAUCCCAGCCUCCCAAUCCCAGCCUCCCCAAUCCCAGCCUCCUAAUCCCAGCCUCCUCCAUCCCAGGACCCCCACUCCCAGCCUCCCGAUCCCAGCUUCUCUGAUCCCAGCCUCCCCUAAAACCCAGACUCUAUGAAUCCCAGCCUCUGAGGUGGGAACUGUUAGUAACCCCACUCCAUGGACAAGAAAGCUGGGGCCUGGCGAGGCUAACAGACUAUCCUGAUGGUGUGAGGGAGGGAUCGGCCUCUGAGGGCUGCUUCCACCCAUCUCACCAGUGGCUGCAGGCUCCAGGCGCCACUUUCCUUGAGUCUAUGUUCUUUCCAAGCAUCCUGCAGCUCCAGAAGCUCUGGAGCCGCCAGCACUGAGAGAAGCGAUGGAGCUGCAUGCAGGGAAACUUUGUUGACAGCGGUGUCUGGAUGGACCAGCAGAGGGCACUCUCACCCACGGGGAAAAUCGUGCGCCCGGCCUCGUCCACCGCCAGAAGACGCCGCUACACAAUGGAGUCUCGCUCUGUCGACCAGGCUGGAGUGCAAUGGUGCGAUCUCGGCUCACUGCAAUCUCUGCCUCCCGGUGAGAGGUGAAGCCAGCUGGACUUCCUGGGUCUAGUGGGGACUUGGAGAACUUUUCUGUCUAGCUAAAGAUUUGUAAAUGCACCAAUCAGUGCUGUGUCUAGCUAAAGUUUGUAAACGUACCAAUCAGCACUCUGUAAAAAUGGGCCAAUCAGCACUCUGUAAAAUGGACCAAUCAGCACUCUGUAAAAUGGACCAGUCAGCAGGAUGUGGGCGGGGUCAAAUAAAGGAAUAAAAAGCUGGUAGCCGAGCCGGCAGUGGCAAACCGUUUGGGUCCUUCUCGGUACCCUGGUGGCUUUGUUGUUUUGCUC